This 116-nucleotide ribosomal RNA is filed under the name Vibrio vulnificus. Lineage: Bacteria; Pseudomonadati; Pseudomonadota; Gammaproteobacteria; Vibrionales; Vibrionaceae. The record is from RNAcentral.
CUUGGCGACGAUAGCGUUUUGGACCCACCUGAACCCAUUCCGAACUCAGAAGUGAAACGAAAUAGCGUCGAUGGUAGUGUGGGGUUUCCCCAUGUGAGAGUAGAACAUCGCCAGGC